GCUGCUACACAUCUGCUAUGCCGAUCAGCGAAUUUAAUGGAUCCGCCGCGCCUACUACAGUACUACUACGCCCUCUCUCUCUCUCAUUAUUAUCUAUCUCUCUCUCUCUCUCUGCCUUAAUUGGUGCUCCUGCUGCUACAGCUAUUAUUAGUCGCCAUUAAACCCCUCCUCUCUCAGAUCCCUUUCCUUCGUGCACCCUCCUUAUGUCAUCUCCCUCCUCCUCCUCCUCCUCCUCCUCCUCCCCGUUCGGCUCCUCGAUCCCCUUCUCCUUCCUCUCGCCGCCUAGGGAAAAACUCCGAUCCCCUCUCCCACUCCUGCAUUACCCGAUCUCUCGGAUCGGCCUCGUUUGACUCGUGAGCUCGGUCGAGGAAGGGAGAGGGAGAUGAACCCGCUGUGUUGCAUCGCCCCCGUCUCCCUCGAUCGCGGCGGCGAGCACGGGAACGUAGCGCCGCCGCCGGCGGCGCUGAAGCCGCGUGCGCCGCCGGGGGCUCAGAUCCCCGUGAGGAGCAGCCUGUCGAGCAAGCAGN
RNAcentral lists this long non-coding RNA (527 nucleotides) under Ananas comosus (pineapple). RNAcentral's name for it is "long non-coding RNA (ACOM_LNC025352)". The record is from RNAcentral. Lineage: Eukaryota; Viridiplantae; Streptophyta; Magnoliopsida; Poales; Bromeliaceae.